GUCUAUCAAGUGAAUAACAAAGUGUAGACUGCCUGUCUGUUUCCUAUACAAAACUUAGAUUUCAUUUGCCAUUAUUGUCGGCCUUUCUGCUGAUUUAAUAACUUCUAAGGAGAAGAACUAGGGGUUCUGAUGCAGCCUCACUAUUUAAGAAACUACUUGGAAAGGGAAUUCUCAAGGGCUGAAAGAGCCUUCAGAUGGUCAGAUAAAGUACCUGAUGCUGAAAAACAGGAAAUUGAAUCAUGUCUCCAAAAUUUGCCUUUUGUCAUGCACUGUUACAGCUAUAUUUCUUGCUCUUUAGGCCUUAAUGAUUGACAUGAUCUUGGAAAACAGGUAUGUAGCAAAACUCUCCUAGAAACCUGAAAGAUGUGGCAAGAAGAAAACAUGGAGCCUUUUCUGAACAAGCCUAUGAGAGAAGAAGAAUCACUUCAAUUUAUUAAGUGUGGAUUCUGGGGCUAAAGAACUUACCUACGACCACACAGCCAGCAAAUUACUGACCCAGCAUAUUCUGAACCCAGGUCUUUAUUCUUUCCAAGACUUCACAGCACCUUCCUCAGAGCAUCUCUACAUGAAAAUCUGUAUAAAGAAGUGAUCUGUGGUGUCGCCAUUUGUAUCAAAAUGGUAUCACAAACUUAUUUAAAAGGCUUCAUCUAAAAGUCUUCAGAUAGAGUUUUGGCCAGGGAAGAGCUCUAAUAUCACACAUUAAUAACCUUACCUUUGUAACAUGUAAAUUGUUUUUUGUUUUAACAUCUCAGUUUCAUUAAACUGAGACCAGAAAGAGCCAUCAUCUUUUUACCAAUUUGUAAUCAUUUUAUUGUGUUACGGACCUGCAGCAAUGCUGACUAUAUUUACAAAUCUGUGAGUGAAAUUUUAAAACCAUUUUCCUCUUCUAAUCUCUCCCAUCCUGCCUUCUUAGAAGCACACAAAGCAUCUCAACCACUCCCAAAUUCCCUGUUGGAAUACCCUUAAUGAUUCUGAAAUAUUUUGUUAUUCCCCAAACACCUCCCUAAGACGAAUCACUGGACUCCAGGCUCUUCACAUUGCCAAGUUGAAUCGAGUUCAAAUGUUCUAUCUAACCAAACUCUAACUUACAACAAAGCCACAUAUAGUAGAUGAUGUGUAAGAUAUUCCGAAAAUACCAAGGCAACAGGGAAAAAAAAUCUGUGUCAUCAAGAGGUCCUCCCAGAACUUCUUGUAAUCUAGAAUAAUCAUUUUUGUCAAGCUCCUGUAACCUAAUCAUAGCACACAUGUGUAUAUAUGUAUAACUAAUAACAUAAAUCAACUUUCAUUUUAAUAAUGUAUAGCUUAACUUUUCUCACAUCCAAAACAAUUAGUGUUGCCAAAUUUAAGAUUAUUUCUCUACUUUAGACAUCAGAACAUGCACAAGGACUUGAGGAAUAAACAAAUCCAAGAAAACAAUCUUAGCCUGAUAAAGUAAAAAUUUUGAAUAAAUUCAUAAAUCAUUUAAAACACAAUCUUAUUAAAUUAGCUAUUUCAUAGUAUGUUAUGAAUGUAAAAGCAGAACACAGAAAAGGCAUUUUCCAAAAAGAUAUAGGACUUAGUAGGAUUUCCUUUUAUGUUAAAAAAUGGCCCAUGGAAGAGCAGUUUUCAGAAUGACCAGGGCAUAGUCAGACACCUCUUUCAUUGGAAGCUUCACCAAAGGGCACACUUCUCCUGAACUCAGAGUUUUGAGUCCAGACCCAGCUCUUGCCAAAGUUCACUGGGAGUUUUGCUAAGCUUCAAGAUGAUCCCACCUGAAAGCUCUUUGGAGACAAAGUUAAGGUAAGUUCCCCUUAAUAUUUCCAGAACCAUAUGAACAUAUAAGCAAACUGUGUAAGGCUACGUAGAAAUGAUUGAAUUUUAAUUUUUUCAAACUACAAACACUUUAAAGACAAGGAUUCUCCUCUAUACUUAUUUUGUAGUACUAGCACCAAGAAUAAUGCAUAGUACAUAGUUGAUACUUAAUAAAUUCAAUACUUGUAUGAAUAAACUGAAAAAUUCUCACAAGACCAUUGGGGGCAGUUCUACUAAUCUCCCUGUAGCCCUGCAAUUUUCAAAGGCUUCAUCACGCAAUUCCCCUCACAACUUUUUGGUUCACUAAUCAUAAAGCCACACGGACAGAAAGGAAAGAAAUCCCAGAGACCAAAAAGCCGUUUGUUUUGUCCAUCUGGUUACAUAUUUAUAGCGUUUCAGAGCUAAAAGUGGUAUUAGAAGUUGCCUUUGAACAGUCCCAUUUUACAUGUGAGAAAACUAAAGUCUAAGCUCUUGGGUGAAGUGACUGAGCCUUGAUCACCCAGCUGACAAGCACCAAAGCACUUCCCGAUAUUAUUUCCUCCAUAUUCCUCUGCAGUUAGCCCCCACCAACUCCACCAGAAAGUAUUUGUAGACUUAGGUAUUUCCUUUAAAAGCCUCAGAUGACUUUACUUGGGGUGUGGUGGAAGGGACCACAAUUUUAUUAUAAUUUACCAAUAGCCAGGAGUUUUGUUCCACUAAAACAUAUGUAUUGACUGAUCUGCUGAAUCUUGCUUUGCGGGGAAGGUGUUUUUUUUUGAGCCCAUCUGAAAAUGUUAAAUGUUUCAUUACUCUUAGAUUAUUAAAUGAAUAACUCCAGGGGAAAAAUGUAUCAUUGUUUCUUAUGAGUAUUAAGACAAAGAGGCAAAACUUUCAAUUUGACCACAAGAGGGCAGCUACAACAUUUCCUGCUAGGUCUUUGGGGUUCUGAACUACGAUAAACUGGGCAUUUGGGGACUCAGCUUGCCAUCGACUCCCUAAUAAUACCUUUCAACUGAAUUCCCAAUAUGUCACAAAACAUUCUCUCAUGGUGUUUCCUGGGACGGUUUUUGUUUUGUUUUUAAAGAAAUUAUUUUCCAACUUCUUUCCAGAUCUACAGAGUCCUCUGCUUUAGAACUCUGUGCCAAAGUUACCAUCUACAAAGAUCUUUGGAGACCAAUAAAUUGUUAGGCUAAUUAGAAAACCCACAGAAAAUGUUUUAUUUUAAUUAAGUUUGACCCCAGAUAAAAAUAAAAACAGUAAUGAUUAUCUGAUUCCACCACACUUAAUAAAGCUUGCUCUAAGUGCUUCACGGGAUUUGCCAAAUAUUUGCCUCAUCUCAGCCUUCAUUCGUCAUUCCCAUUUUCAUGAUAUCCUAAAAUCUUUCAAGUCAAAAUUUAUUGUGGAAUUUUAUCACUGAGCUAAACGGUGGGAGGUCUGCAAAUAAAAAAGCAGAGAUUAGUAAUAGCUACAUUCCAUAUUCUUAUAGUUGCACAAAAACAUAAAUUCAAACUUAGUUCAUCUGUUAGGUGCAUAAAGAGUGGGGAGUUAAUUUGAAAAGUAAGUGCUAGAUUUUAUAUGUAUAUAUGUGCAUGCAUCUGUGUGUAGGUGUGGCUGUGUGUAUAUACUCAUUAAUUUUUUUUGUUUUUUCACUAGUAAUUAUAUAUAAGUAGUUUGGAAAUUUACUAUUGAUGUUUGUAGAUUUUGAAGAUGUACAUAGCGAUGUAUUUCCUUCACAUUUACCGUGAAGCCUUUCCCUUAACCAUCUUAUUUAAAAUUGCAACCCCUGUCCCCCCCACCCCCACAUAUCCUGUCCUCAUUCCCUGUUGUAUUUUUUCUCUUAUCAACAUUUGACAUACUUUAUAUUUUACUUGGUUUUUGUUAGUCUCCUUCACAAAU
Pan troglodytes (chimpanzee) is the source of this 3666-nucleotide long non-coding RNA. RefSeq lists it as uncharacterized. The transcript is spliced from 3 exons. The record is from RefSeq and is a predicted model, not a curated record. Lineage: Eukaryota; Metazoa; Chordata; Mammalia; Primates; Hominidae.